RNAcentral lists this ribosomal RNA (512 nucleotides) under uncultured bacterium. Its description in RNAcentral is "partial 16S ribosomal RNA". It matches the Rfam family "Bacterial small subunit ribosomal RNA", at positions 28 to 507 of the family's 1533-position model. The record is from RNAcentral.
GAUGAACGCUGGCGGCGUGCCUAAUACAUGCAAGUCGAACGAAACUUCUUUAUUACCGCGUGCUUGCACUCACCGAUAAAGAGUUGAGUGGCGAACGGGUGAGUAACACGUGGGCAACCUGCCCAAAAGAGGGGGAUAACACUUGGAAACAGGUGCUAAUACCGCAUAACCAUAGUUACCGCAUGGUAACUAUGUAAAAGGUGGCUAUACUACCGCUUUUGGAUGGGCCCGCGGCGCAUUAGCUAGUUGGUAGGGUAAAGGCUUACCAAGGCAAUGAUGCGUAGCCGAAUUGAGAGGUUGAUCGGCCACAUUGGGACUGAGACACGGCCCAAACUCCUACGGGAGGCAGCAGUAGGGAAUCUUCCACAAUGGGCGAAAGCCUGAUGGAGCAACGCCGCGUGGGUGAAGAAGGUCUUCGGAUCGUAAAACCCUGUUGUUAGAGAAGAAAGUGCGUGAGAGUAACUGUUCACGUUUCGACGGUAUCUAACCAGAAAGCCACGGCUAACUACGUG